AUGGUUAAGCUACUAAGGGCGUACGGUGGAUGCCUAGGCGUCAAGGGCCGAAGAAGGGCGUGGCAGGCUGCGAUAAGCCUCGGGGAGCCGUCAAGCAGGCUUUGAUCCGGGGAUGCCCGAAUGGGGAAACCUACCCAGGGGAAUGCCUGGGUACCCCCAGCUGAAUACAUAGGCUGGUGGGAGGCAACCGAGGGAACUGAAACAUCUUAGUACCUCGAGGAAAAGAGAUCAUUCCCUGAGUAGUGGCGAGCGAAAGGGGAACAGCCCAAACCUAUCUUGUGUCAAGGCUGUGGCCGUUGCAAGGUAGGGGUUGUAAGGCACGGGCGGGUCACCACAGAGGCCCACAGGAGUUACAAAUCUGGUCUCUAGUGGAAGGAUACUGGAAAGGUCCACCAUAGAGAGUGAUAGUCUCGUACGCGAAAGGGAUCAGACUCCUGCCGUUGGCCUUGAGUACCACGGGGCACGCUAAUCUUGUGGGAAUCAGGGAAGUCCACUUCCCAAGGCUAAAUACCCUUGACGACCGAUAGUGAACAAGUACCGUGAGGGAAAGGUGAAAAGAACGCCGGUGAGGCGAGUGAAAUAGAACCUGAAACCGUAUGCCUACAAGCGGUGGGAGGGCUAUACCCCUUAUAGGGGGAGGCCUGACCGCGUGCCUUUUGGAGAAUGAACCGGCGAGUUACUCUCUGUGGCGAGGUUAAGGGAGUCAUACCUGGAGCCGUAGCGAAAGCGAGUCUGAAUAGGGCGCAAUAGUCGCAGGGAGUAGACCCGAAACCAGGUGAGCUACCCAUGGCCAGGGUGAAGCGAUAGUAAUGCAUCGUGGAGGCCCGAACCUACCAGAGUUGCAAAUCUGGGGGAUGAGCUGUGGGUAGAGGUGAUAUGCCAAACGAACCUGGAGAUAGCUGGUUCUCCCCGAAAUAGCUUUAGGGCUAGCCUCAGGUGUUUAGUGAUGGAGGUAGAGCACUGAAUUGGCUAAGGGGCGUAAAGCCUACUAAACCAAACCAAACUCCGAAUGCCAUCACUCAAGAGCCUGGGAGUCGGACAGUGGGGGAUAAGCUUCAUUGUCAAGAGGGAAAGAGCCCAGACCGUCAGCUAAGGUCCCUAAGUCCAGGCUAAGUGGGCAAGGAGGUGGGAUUACUGGGACAGCCAGGAGGUUGGCUUAGAGGCAGCCAUCCUUUAAAGAGUGCGUAAUAGCUCACUGGUCUAGUGAUUCUGCGCCGACAAUGUAACGGGGCUCAAGCCUGGCACCGAAGCUACGGGAGGUCGGAAGCUUGGGGACAUAACGGCCCAAGGAGAUUGGUUGAGCUUUGCUCCCAGCUUCUUGUUGCCGGUUCCCAAGGCGUUUCGACUUCGGUAGGGGAGCGUUCUGCUCAGCUGUGAAGCUAGACCGUGAGGACUAGUGGAGCGAGCAGAAGUGAGAAUGCCGGUAUGAGUAGCGAGAAACAUGUGAGAAACAUGUUCGCCGUAAACCUAAGGUUUCCGACGGAAGGUUAAUCCGCGUCGGGUUAGUCGGGCCUAAGCCGAGGGCGAAAGCCGUAGGCGAUGGACAACAGGUUAAUAUUCCUGUACCACCCGGGUGGAGCGAUGGGGGGACGCGGAGGGGUAGGCCAGCCUGUUAUUGGAUUCAGGUGCCAAGCUCGUAGGAGGCCGGACCAGGUAAAUCCGGACCGGUGUUAACUCUGAGGAGUGGGCGGUGCCGUAAGGCCAGAAGUGGUUGAGCCCAGCCGCCGAGAAAAGCCUCUAAGCGAUGAAACCCUGGUGACCGUACCGCAAACCGACACUGGUAGGUGGGUAGAGAAUACCAAGGCGAUCGGGAGAACCCUCGUUAAGGAACUCGGCAAAAUUGCUCCGUAACUUCGGGAGAAGGAGCGCCCUCUUGGGUGAAGCGACUAGCUCGCGGAGCUCAGGGGGGUCACAGUGAAAUGGCCCUGGCGACUGUUUAUCAAAAACACAGGUCUCUGCCAACUCGAAAGAGGAUGUAUAGGGGCUGACGCCUGCCCAGUGCCGGAAGGUUAAAGGGAAGGGUGAUGCUGGCUUCGGCCAGCGGCAGCUCUGAACUGAAGCCCCGGUGAACGGCGGCCGUAACUAUAACGGUCCUAAGGUAGCGAAAUUCCUUGUCGGGUAAGUUCCGACCCGCACGAAAGGCGUAACGACUGGGGCGCUGUCUCAACGAGGGACCCGGCGAAAUUGAAGUAGGCGUGAAGAUACGCCUUACCCGCAGCAGGACAAAAAGACCCCGUGGAGCUUUACUGUAGCUUGGUACUGGGUUAGGGCUUGGCUUGUGCAGGAUAGGUGGGAGACUGGGAAGCUGGGGCGUUAGCCUCGGUGGAGUCAACCUUGAAAUACCACCCUGGUGAAGUUUUGGCUCUAACCUGCACCCGUGAUCCGGGGCAGGGACAGUGCCAGGUGGGCAGUUUGACUGGGGCGGUCGCCUCCCAAAAGGUAACGGAGGCGCCCAAAGGUUCCCUCAGGCUGAAUGGAAACCAGCUGUAGAGUGUAAAGGCACAAGGGAGCUUGACUGCGAGACCUACAAGUCGAGCAGGGACGAAAGUCGGGCUUAGUGAUCCUACGGUUCCGAGUGGAAGGGCCGUGGCUUAACGGAUAAAAGCUACCCCGGGGAUAACAGGCUAGUCUUGCCCAAGAGUUCACAUCGACGGCAAGGCUCGGCACCUCGAUGUCGGCUCGUCGCAUCCUGGGGCUGUAUAAGGUCCCAAGGGUUGGGCUGUUCGCCCAUUAAAGCGGCACGCGAGCUGGGUUCAGACCGUCGUGAGACAGGUCGGUCUCUAUCCGCUGUGGGCGCAGGUGACUUGAGAGGAGCUGCUCCUAGUACGAGAGGACCGGAGUGGACAGACCGCUGGUGUGCCAGUUGUACCGCCAGGUGCAUCGCUGGGUAGCUAUCGUCUGGAAAGGAUAACCGCUGAAAGCAUCUAAGUGGGAAGCCUCCCUCAAGAUAAGGUCACCCACCGGGCUAACCGGGUAAGACCGCAGGUAGACUACCUGUUUGAUAGGCGGCAGGUGUAAGGGCAGCAAUGCCUUCAGCUAAGCCGUACUAAUGGUCGAGGGCUUAAUCUACA
RNAcentral lists this ribosomal RNA (3071 nucleotides) under Chloroflexi bacterium B3_Chlor. Its description in RNAcentral is "23S ribosomal RNA". It matches the Rfam family "Bacterial large subunit ribosomal RNA". The record is from RNAcentral. Lineage: Bacteria; Bacillati; Chloroflexota.